RNAcentral lists this ribosomal RNA (460 nucleotides) under uncultured bacterium. RNAcentral's name for it is "partial 16S ribosomal RNA". It matches the Rfam family "Bacterial small subunit ribosomal RNA", at positions 338 to 795 of the family's 1533-position model. The record is from RNAcentral.
CCUACGGGAGGCUGCAGUGAGGAAUAUUGGUCAAUGGACGAGAGUCUGAACCAGCCAAGUAGCGUGAAGGAUGACUGCCCUAUGGGUUGUAAACUUCUUUUAUAUGGGAAUAAAAUGUUCCACGUGUGGGAUUUUGUAUGUACCAUAUGAAUAAGGAUCGGCUAACUCCGUGCCAGCAGCCGCGGUAAUACGGAGGAUCCGAGCGUUAUCCGGAUUUAUUGGGUUUAAAGGGAGCGUAGGUGGAUUGUUAAGUCAGUUGUGAAAGUUUGCGGCUCAACCGUAAAAUUGCAGUUGAAACUGGCAGUCGUGAGUACAGUAGAGGUGGGCGGAAUUCGUGGUGUAGCGGUGAAAUGCUUAGAUACCACGAAGAACUCCGAUUGCGAAGGCAGCUCACUGGACUGCAACUGACACUGAGGCUCGAAAGUGUGGGUAUCAAACAGGAUUAGAUACCCCUGUAGUC